Molecule: long non-coding RNA, 264 nt
Organism: Pseudophryne corroboree (corroboree frog)
Lineage: Eukaryota; Metazoa; Chordata; Amphibia; Anura; Myobatrachidae
Exons: 6
Source: RefSeq, a predicted model, not a curated record
ACAGCUCAGCGUCUGUAGGAUAAGCAGCAGUCCUCAUUGCCAGAGUGCGAGUUUUCAAGAUCAACGUCAAACCACAAAUUAUAUCGUUUGUCAGAUCACCAAAUAUUCUCCCCUUUCCAGUACCCGAAGUAGGGCCAGGUUUUCAAGAUCAACGUCAAACCACAAAUUAUAUCGUUUGUCAGAUCACCAAAUAUUCUCCCCUUUCCAGUACCCGAAGUAGGGCCAGGUUUUCAAGAUCAACGUCAAACCACAAAUUAUAUCGGU